This 3212-nucleotide ribosomal RNA is filed under the name Triticum aestivum (bread wheat). RNAcentral's name for it is "partial small subunit ribosomal RNA". Lineage: Eukaryota; Viridiplantae; Streptophyta; Magnoliopsida; Poales; Poaceae. The record is from RNAcentral.
UCUGCGUCCACCUGCAUCCUGAGGCGUCAAGGCAUCCACCAUGUAUUUUGGUGUCUUGUUACCCUCAAGCCCUAAACUCGUACUGAUAGCCGUUUGUUUUCAGGAAAUUUGAAACAACUGCUUGUUAUUUUUGGCUUCUCCAAGAAGAUCAGUUUGUGAAUUUUGAACCAUGACCGCGCAGACCAAGAAGAGGAGCCCUGUGGAGAGUGGGGACGCUGCUAUCGGCACGGCUCUCGUUGGCUUCGUCUCCAAUAAUGAGGAUUUGGGCCCCAUUGUGCGGCAUGCUUUCGAGUCCGGAAGGCCUGAGGCUCUCUUCCACAACCUCAGGGGUAUCGCCAAGAGGAAGGAGGUUGAGAUCGAGGAGCUCUGUAGGCUUCACUAUGAGGAAUUCAUCCUCGCGGUCGAUGAGCUGCGUGGGGUGUUGGUCGAUGCUGAUGAACUCAAGGGCGCGCUGUCGGGUGAGAAUCUGCGCUUGCAGGAGGUUGCUAGUGCCCUGCUUCUGAAGCUCGAUGAGCUUCUUGAGUUGUAUGCGGUGAAUAAGAAUGUUGGGGAAGCGCUUGCAACAUUGAAGAUCUGUCUGCAGGUCACCAGCCUGUGUCAGGCAUGCAACAGGGACAUUGCCCAAGGCAAGUUUCACACUGUGCUGAAGACUUUGGAGCUGAUUGAGAAGGACCACCUGCAGAAUAUUCCUCUGAAGCUUCUUAAAAAUGUUGUUCAGAAAAAGAUACCGAUGAUGAAGCUGUACAUCGAGAAGGAAGUUUCCGGUGAGUUUAAUGAGUGGCUUGUGUAUAUCAGAAAGUUUGCAAUGGAGAUUGGACAGGCCUCGAUACGCCAGGCCUCUUUGGAUCGUCAGAAAGAUGAGCGAAUGCGUGCCUGGCAGAGGGAAGCAGAAGAAUGUAGUCGUGGGGGGUUUGAUGAGCAUGCUUAUGCCUUGGAUCUGGAGUACAUAGAUGAAGAGUCAACACUAGAAUUUGAUCUUACUCCAGUAUACCGAGCAUACAACAUCCACAUAUCCCUUGGCCUUGGGGACAAGUUUCGAGAAUAUUACUACAGUAACAGGCUCAUGCAGCUUAACUUGGACAUGCAAAUUUCUACAACACAACCCUUCCUCGAGUCCCACCAGCACUUCCUUGCUCAGGUAGCUGGAUUUUUUAUUGUUGAAAACCGUGUUCUUCGAACUGCAGAGGGACUUCUAUCUGAGAGCCAGGUUGACACAAUGUGGGAAACAUCUAUUUCUAAGGUCACCUCUUUCCUAGAGGAACAGUUUGCACGCAUGGAUGCAGCUAACCACCACCUCCUUGUAAAAGAUUAUGUCUCUCUUCUAGCUGCAACCAUGAAGAAGUAUGGGUAUCAAGUCACAUCUUUGCUUGAAGUUCUUGACAAAAACAGGGACAGAUAUCAUGAGCUGCUUGUUUCAGAUUGUCGGAAGCAGAUACAAGGCGUCUUUGCUAAGGACUCGUAUGAAAGGAUGGUUAUAGAUAAGGAAAAUGAAUACAACAUGAAUGUCGCAGCAUGUCAACUUGAACCCAUUCACGCAGUGCCGGAUUUGCCAUAUGUUGCGCCAUUUUCCUCAUCAGUUCCCAGUGCUUGCCGUAUUAUCCGUUCCUUCAUUGAGGAUUUGGUAAGCUACUUGUCAUAUGGUGUAGUGGUCAACUCCUAUGAUGUGGUGAAAGGAUACCUAGACAAGCUUUUAAUUGAGGUACUAAAUGACGGUCUUCUGAAGUUGAUACAUAAUGGUAGUUUGGAGAUAGCGCAGCUGGUACAGAUUGCAGGAAAUAUUGCCAUCCUUGAGCGGUCAUGUGACAUGUUCCUUUUGCAUGCUGCCCAGCUUUGUGGACUUCCUAAACGGCUGCUUGGGAAGCCUCAUUCUGGUUUGACUGCUAGAGCUGUGCUCAAGGCCUCCCAAAACGCAGCGUUCAAUGGAUUAAUAACCUCGGCCAAUUCCAGAAUUGAUGAAUUCAUGCUGCUGCUGACCAGCAUCGAUUGGACAACAGAGGAAACUCCAGAACAUGCAAAUGACUACAUGAAUGAAGUCCUCAUCUACCUUGACAUGGUGGUAUCGACUGCACAGCAGAUUCUGCCGAGAGAGGCCCUCUUCAAGGUCAUUUCUGGUUCACUCAGCCACAUCUCAGACUCCAUAAUAACAGUUCUUCUCAGCGACAGGGUGAAAAGGCUGAGCAUCAAUGCGGUUGUAGGUAUCGACAUUGACCUGAAACAGUUAGAGGAGUUUGCAGAAGACAGAUUUCACACCACUGGGUUGUCGGCCCUUAAAAAGGAAACAAAUUUUAAAGAUUGCCUUGUCGAGAUUAGGCAGCUGACUAAUCUUCUGCUGAGCAACCACGCUGAGAGCUUCAUGAACGCUGUGAUCAGGGAGAAGAGUUAUGCGUCCUUGGACCACAAGAAGGUAGCCAUCAUCUGCGACAAGUUUCGGGAUGCUCCUGACAGCUUGUUUGGGAGCCUUUCAAGUAGAAACAUGGUGCAGAGUGCUCGGAAGAAGUCCUUGGAUGUGUUGAAGAGAAGGUUGAAGGAUUUUAGCUGAGAUUAGCCAUGUUGCAUCUGAAAUAAGCUGGUACCAGUUGAGUAGAACUUAAAUUUGCUUCUGUAAAACCUUGUCUGCUCUUGUGAUUUUCUUGUCUAGAACAUAAUUACUGUCCUCUGUUUCAUGUGCACAUUUAGGCUUUGGCUGCCUGCUUACAGGGUGAGGCCGUGAACUGUAGUUGUAUGCUCCAAAUUUCCAUCUGAACUUAGUUGAUACUGUCCUUUCACUAGAAGAAAUAGAAGAGGGCAGUUUCUUUCGUACCAGGGCAAGCUAUUAAAGGCUUAAGUUGACACAACCACAGGGUUUGGUGUCCGUAAGGAAGCAGUAACUGUGAAGAAAGCUGUCAAAUAGACUUGUGCUGGUCAUCAUUGUCUUGCAUUGCUUAAAGAGAAAACCUUGGAUUGUUUAGGGAGAGAGACUUGAAGGACGGUGAAGGUUUAGCAGCUUCGCUUUGAUGAAAGUUACUUCUUUGACGGUUAGCAAAGCUCUAAAUGCCACCCUUAAUAAAUCUCUUUGGUCAGAUAACUUUGGAAUUAGAACUUUAGCUAUCAGACACCAAAUCAAUGUUUGAAAAAGAAAUCCUAUCAGUGUCAGUCAUGCAGGCAAUGAGGUAGUUUCCUGGUUUUGGAUUCAGUUUACUGUAAUAUUUCUUAGCUUGCUGAUCAGCUUUAGG